GUGCCAGCAGCCGCGGUAAUACGUAGGGAGCAAGCGUUGUCCGGAUUUAUUGGGCGUAAAGAGCUCGUAGGCGGCUUAGAAAGUCGGGUGUGAAACCUCCAGGCUCAACCUGGAGACGCCACUCGAUACUUCUAUGGCUUGAGUUCGGUAGGGGACCAUGGAAUUCCUGGUGUAGCGGUGAAAUGCGCAGAUAUCAGGAGGAACACCGAUGGCGAAGGCAGUGGUCUGGGCCGAUACUGACGCUGAGGAGCGAAAGCGUGGGGAGCGAACAGGAUUAGAUACCCGGGUAGUCC
RNAcentral lists this ribosomal RNA (293 nucleotides) under uncultured bacterium. RNAcentral's name for it is "partial 16S ribosomal RNA". It matches the Rfam family "Bacterial small subunit ribosomal RNA", at positions 505 to 796 of the family's 1533-position model. The record is from RNAcentral.